GACGAACGCUGGCGGCGUGCUUAACACGUGCAAGUCGAACGAUGAAGCCUAGCUUGCUAGGUGGAUUAGUGGCGAACGGGUGAGUAAUACGUGAGUAACCUACCUUUAACUCUGGGAUAAGCCUGGGAAACUGGGUCUAAUACCGGAUACGACCAAUCUCCGCAUGGGGUGUUGGUGGAAAGCGUUAUGUAGUGGUUAUAGAUGGGCUCACGGCCUAUCAGCUUGUUGGUGAGGUAACGGCUCACCAAGGCGACGACGGGUAGCCGGCCUGAGAGGGUGACCGGCCACACUGGGACUGAGACACGGCCCAGACUCCUACGGGAGGCAGCAGUGGGGAAUAUUGCACAAUGGGCGCAAGCCUGAUGCAGCGACGCCGCGUGAGGGAUGACGGCCUUCGGGUUGUAAACCUCUGUUAGCAGGGAAGAAGAGAAAUUGACGGUACCUGCAGAGAAAGCGCCGGCUAACUACGUGCCAGCAGCCGCGGUAAUACGUAGGGCGCGAGCGUUGUCCGGAAUUAUUGGGCGUAAAGAGCUUGUAGGCGGUUUGUCGCGUCUGCUGUGAAAGGCCGGGGCUUAACCCCGUGUAUUGCAGUGGGUACGGGCAGACUAGAGUGCAGUAGGGGAGACUGGAACUCCUGGUGUAGCGGUGGAAUGCGCAGAUAUCAGGAAGAACACCGAUGGCGAAGGCAGGUCUCUGGGCUGUAACUGACGCUGAGAAGCGAAAGCAUGGGGAGCGAACAGG
Molecule: ribosomal RNA, 741 nt
Filed under: Rothia mucilaginosa
Lineage: Bacteria; Bacillati; Actinomycetota; Actinomycetes; Micrococcales; Micrococcaceae
Description: bacterial SSU rRNA
Rfam family: Bacterial small subunit ribosomal RNA
Source: RNAcentral